UACGGUGGGGGCAAGCGUUGUUCGGAUUUACUGGGCGUAAAGGGCGCGUAGGCGGUCGUGACAAGUCACUUGUGAAAUCUCCGGGCUUAACUCGGAACGGUCAAGUGAUACUGUCGGACUAGAGUACAGAAGGGGCAACUGGAAUUCUCGGUGUAGCGGUGAAAUGCGUAGAUAUCGAGAGGAACACCUGCGGCGAAGGCGGGUUGCUGGGCUGAUACUGACGCUGAGGCGCGAAAGCCAGGGGAGCGAACGGG
RNAcentral lists this ribosomal RNA (254 nucleotides) under uncultured bacterium. Its description in RNAcentral is "partial 16S ribosomal RNA". It matches the Rfam family "Bacterial small subunit ribosomal RNA", at positions 524 to 776 of the family's 1533-position model. The record is from RNAcentral.